UGCUGUGAACUCGAAGAGUAGGGCGGGACACGUGGUAUCCUGUCUGAAUAUGGGGGGACCAUCCUCCAAGGCUAAAUACUCCUGACUGACCGAUAGUGAACCAGUACCGUGAGGGAAAGGCGAAAAGAACCCCGGCGAGGGGAGUGAAAAAGAACCUGAAACCGUGUACGUACAAGCAGUGGGAGCCUCUUUAUGGGGUGACUGCGUACCUUUUGUAUAAUGGGUCAGCGACUUAUAUUCUGUAGCAAGGUUAACCGUAUAGGGGAGCCGAAGGGAAACCGAGUCUUAACUGGGCGUUAAGUUGCAGGGUAUAGACCCGAAACCCGGUGAUCUAGCCAUGGGCAGGUUGAAGGUUGGGUAACACUAACUGGAGGACCGAACCGACUAAUGUUGAAAAAUUAGCGGAUGACCUGUGGCUGGGGGUGAAAGGCCAAUCAAACCGGGAGAUAGCUGGUUCUCCCCGAAAGCUAUUUAGGUAGCGCCUCGUGAACUCAUCUUCGGGGGUAGAGCACUGUUUCGGCUAGGGGGCCAUCCCGGCUUACCAACCCGAUGCAAACUACGAAUACCGAAGAAUGUUAUCACGGGAGACACACGGCGGGUGCUAACGUCCGUCGUGAAGAGGGAAACAACCCAGACCGCCAGCUAAGGUCCCAAAGUCAUGGUUAAGUGGGAAACGAUGUGGGAAGGCACAGACAGCCAGGAUGUUGGCUUAGAAGCAGCCAUCAUUUAAAGAAAGCGUAAUAGCUCACUGGUCGAGUCGGCCUGCGCGGAAGAUGUAACGGGGCUAAACCAUGCACCGAAGCUGCGGCAGCGACACUAUGUGUUGUUGGGUAGGGGAGCGUUCUGUAAGCCGUUGAAGGUGUGCUGUGAGGCAUGCUGGAGGUAUCAGAAGUGCGAAUGCUGACAUAAGUAACGAUAAAGCGGGUGAAAAGCCCGCUCGCCGGAAGACCAAGGGUUCCUGUCCAACGUUAAUCGGGGCAGGGUGAGUCGACCCCUAAGGCGAGGCCGAAAGGCGUAGUCGAUGGGAAACAGGUUAAUAUUCCUGUACUUGGUGUUACUGCGAAGGGGGGACGGAGAAGGCUAUGUCAGCCGGGCGACGGUUGUCCCGGUUUAAGCAUGUAGGCGGAGGUUCCAGGUAAAUCCGGUACCUUGUUAACGCUGAGGUGUGAUGACGAGGCACUACGGUGCUGAAGUGAUAAAUGCCCUGCUUCCAGGAAAAGCCUCUAAGCAUCAGGUAACACGAAAUCGUACCCCAAACCGACACAGGUGGUCAGGUAGAGAAUACCAAGGCGCUUGAGAGAACUCGGGUGAAGGAACUAGGCAAAAUGGUGCCGUAACUUCGGGAGAAGGCACGCUGAUGUGUAGGUGAAGCCCCUGCGGGUGGAGCUGAAAUCAGUCGAAGAUACCAGCUGGCUGCAACUGUUUAUUAAAAACACAGCACUGUGCAAACACGAAAGUGGACGUAUACGGUGUGACGCCUGCCCGGUGCCGGAAGGUUAAUUGAUGGGGUUAGCGGCAACGCGAAGCUCUUGAUCGAAGCCCCGGUAAACGGCGGCCGUAACUAUAACGGUCCUAAGGUAGCGAAAUUCCUUGUCGGGUAAGUUCCGACCUGCACGAAUGGCGUAAUGAUGGCCAGGCUGUCUCCACCCGAGACUCAGUGAAAUUGAACUCGCUGUGAAGAUGCAGUGUACCCGCGGCAAGACGGAAAGACCCCGUGAACCUUUACUAUAGCUUGACACUGAACACUGGUCCUUGAUGUGUAGGAUAGGUGGGAGGCUUUGAAGCGUGGACGCCAGUCUGCGUGGAGCC
Molecule: ribosomal RNA, 1809 nt
Filed under: Enterobacter cloacae
Lineage: Bacteria; Pseudomonadati; Pseudomonadota; Gammaproteobacteria; Enterobacterales; Enterobacteriaceae
Also listed under: 1 other name
Description: bacterial LSU rRNA
Rfam family: Bacterial large subunit ribosomal RNA
Source: RNAcentral